GAUGAACGCUAGCGGCAGGCUUAAUACAUGCAAGUCGAACGGGAUUGAGAAGCUUGCUUUUCAUGAGAGUGGCGCACGGGUGCGUAACACGUAUGCAACCUACCUUGUCCAGGGGGAUAGCCCGUUGAAAGACGGAUUAAGACCGCAUAACAUUGAGCUGUGGCAUCACAAAUCAAUCAAAUAUUUAUAGGGACAAGAUGGGCAUGCGCCUGAUUAGGUAGUUGGCGGGGUAAUGGCCCACCAAGCCGACGAUCAGUAGGGGAGCUGAGAGGAUGACCCCCCACACGGGUACUGAGACACGGACCAGACUCCUACGGGAGGCAGCAGUAAGGAAUAUUGGUCAAUGGGCGAAGGCCUGAACCAGCCAUGCCGCGUGCAGGAAGACGGCCCUACGGGUUGUAAACUGCUUUUAUACGGGAAUAACCCCGGUUUCGUGAAACCGGCUGAAUGUACCGUAAGAAUAAGGAUCGGCUAACUCCGUGCCAGCCGCCGCCGUAA
This 498-nucleotide ribosomal RNA is filed under the name uncultured bacterium. Its description in RNAcentral is "partial 16S ribosomal RNA". It matches the Rfam family "Bacterial small subunit ribosomal RNA", at positions 28 to 523 of the family's 1533-position model. The record is from RNAcentral.